AUUGAACGCUGGCGGCCGGCCUAACCCAUGCAAUUCGGGCGAGCGGCGGACGGGUGUGUAAUGUAUGGGGAUCUGACUGAUGGAGGGGGAUAACUAAUGGACACGUUAGCUACUAACGCUUACCACCAGAUGAACCCAUAUGGGAUUAGCUUGUCGGUAAGGUAACGGCGUACAUAGGCGACGAUCCCGAGCUGGUCUGAGAGGAUGAUCAGCCAAACUGGGACUGAGACACGGCCCAGACUCCUCCGGGAGGCAGCAGUGGUGAAUAUUGCACAAUGGGCGCAAGCCUGAUGCAGCCAUGCCGCGUGUAUGAAGAAGGCCUUCGGGUUGUAAAGUACUGUCAGUCGGGAGGCGUUACCGACAGAAGAAGCACCGGCUAACUCCGUGCCAGCAGCCGCGGUAAUUC
RNAcentral lists this ribosomal RNA (406 nucleotides) under uncultured bacterium. Its description in RNAcentral is "partial 16S ribosomal RNA". It matches the Rfam family "Bacterial small subunit ribosomal RNA", at positions 30 to 526 of the family's 1533-position model. The record is from RNAcentral.